AUAAAUUUAAGUAAUAUAUUAAUUGGUAUUGCAUAUCAUUAGCAAAAAAUUUUAUUGUAAUAAAAAAUAAAAAUAAAAGGUAGAGUUUAUUGUUUUUUUAUUGUUUCAUAAUAAAAAUUAAAUAAUUUAGGGUUGAAAAGUCGACUUUUAUUAUAUUUGUUUUAUUUUAAAUUAUUAGAAAAUUAUAUUAAUAAUAAAUUUAAAAGUAAAUUUAUAAUUUAAAGUGUUAAUUAUAUAAGUUUUAUAACUGUUUAUAAUUUAAUAAUUUUAAUUGAUUUUAAUUAAUUAUUAAUGUAAUAAUAAUUAUAAUAUUGUUAAAUUAGUAUUUAUAUUGUAAAAAAUAUAUUAUAAUAAUAUAAUAAAUAAACUAAAGAUUUAAUCAAAUGUUUUUUAAAGACUUAGACUUUAUUUUAAAGUUUGCUUCUGCCCAGUGAUUAAAUUAAAUGGCAGUCUUAGCGUGAGGACAUUAAGGUAGCAAAAUAAUUUGUGCUUUUAUUGAGUUCCAGUAUGAAUGAAGUUAUUGGUUAAUUUAUUUAUUUAUUUAUUUUUGAAUUUUUUUUAUAUAAAAAAAUAUAAAAACUUUUGUACAAAGAUAAGUCUUUGAAAAUUCUUUUUAUAUUUAAUUUAUUAUUUAAUUAAAUAUAAAAUUUUCUAGGGUAGAAUAUUAUUUAAUUUUUUUUCUAUUAAUAAUAUAAAGAAUUACUUCAGAGUUAACAGAAAAUCAUACUUAAUCUAGUUCUUAUAGUAAAGUAAGUUUUACAUCGAUGUUGUAUUUGAGUAAAUUAAAAAAGGAGAAAAUUUAAUUAUUAAGACUGUUCUUCUUUUAUUUAACUCAACGUGAUAUUAGUUUAAUUCAUUGUGAGAUAGAAUUGUUUAUCUUGACAAUUGUUUAUAUUGAAAGUUAUUAGUACGAAAGGAAAAUUGUAAAAGUUUUAAACUUUAAAAGAUUUAUUUUAUAG
RNAcentral lists this ribosomal RNA (959 nucleotides) under Trichostrongylus vitrinus. RNAcentral's name for it is "large subunit ribosomal RNA". Lineage: Eukaryota; Metazoa; Nematoda; Chromadorea; Rhabditida; Trichostrongylidae. The record is from RNAcentral.